Long non-coding RNA from Chrysemys picta bellii (western painted turtle), 3823 nucleotides. Lineage: Eukaryota; Metazoa; Chordata; Testudines; Emydidae. The record is from Ensembl.
UGGGAAAUUUACAUUUUGCAUAGUUGUGAUUAUUUUUGAAGGAGAGAAUUAUGAGUUUUGUUGAGCGUUUAUUAGUAGGGUAAAGGAGUGAAUUCAGCUUUUUAUUAGGGUCAUUUCAAUGAUGAAUGAAUGUUUCUUUUUCAUAGGGACAAGAAAAAAGACAAAGAAAACAAAGAAAAGGUCAAGGAAAAAGAAAAGGUCAAAGAGAAGGACAAGGACCGAGACAGGGAGAAGGAGAGAGACCGAGAUAAAGAAAGAGAGAGGGAGCGGGACAGAGACAAAGAGAGAAACAGGGACAAGGAUAGGGAGAGAGAUAAAGAAAAAGACAGGGACAAGGACCGAGAGAGGGACAGAGACAAAGAAAAGGAGAGGAACAAAGACCGGGAGAGGGUCAAGGACAGGGACAAAGAGAAGGAUAGGGAGAAGGACAGGGACAAGGAGAAGGACAGGGACAAGGAGAAGGAGGUAGUCCGGGACAAGAAGGAAACGGACCUGGAGAAAGGGGGGGACAGGGACAAGGAAAAGGAUCGGGAGAAAGAGGGGGAAAGGGAGAAGGUUAAGGAGAAGGACAGGGAGAAAGACAGAGAGAGGAAGGAGGGUGACAAGGAGAAGGACAAAGACAAGGAAGGGGACAAAGAGAAGGAACGGGAAAGAGAAAAAGAGAGGUCCAAAGAGAGUGAUGAUAAAAAGAAGAAAGAGAAGAGAUCCAGAACACCUCCCAGAAGCUACAGUUCUCUAAGAAGAUCUCGUAGUUCCAGCAGAGAAAGGCGUAAGAGGAAGAGUAGAAGUCCUUCCAAGUCUCCAAAAACAUCCAAAACAUCAAAGAGAAAGUCCUCUCGGUCUCCAUCACCAAGGAGGUGGGAUUUAUAUACAUAUUAGAAUUAAAACGGACAGCUAAAAAGGAAAAUCUUUAAUGAUCUUUCUCCCGUACUGAAAUUUCAUCAGCUUCCCAGUAUCAGUACCAAUAUCAUGCAAAAAAAAUUGUUGAGGAGAUUUGGAUUUCUUCUGGGCAGUUUUUUUUUUUUCAGUACAUGUAAGAAGCUUUCUACCUAUCUUGUAUGUAAAUGACAAUGACAAGAUCAGCCCUCUUUCUCCAAAACAGAAUCUUAGAUGGAGAAUCUGAGAAUAUGAAAAAAACUUGUUUGGAAACACUGUUCUCAUCAGUUUAUCACCCCUGCCUGAGUCUCUUUUAUUACACUUCCGUCGCUGCAGAUAAUUUCAUUUGGUCAAAGUGAUUCAAGUCUCAGUUCAAUCUUGCAUUGAUUUAUUAUUUUGGAGCUCUUCACAUUCUUUACCUACAAACCAAUCAAAGAUCCUUAUUGUUCUGUACAGCUGUCCUUUGUGUGGCAGACCCAGACCAGUGGAGUACAGGAGUCUGGUAGAGGGCAAAUAUACUGGUCACUAGAUAAGUAGUUUUCUGUUCCCUGAGUGACCAGAGCAGGGGCUGCACUAGAGUUAUCAGGAACCUGCUAGAACCAGUUAAGGCAGGCAGGCUAAUUAGGACACCUGGAGCCAAUUAAGAAGAAGCUUCUAGAAUCAAUUAAGGCAGGCUAAUCAGGGUACCUGGGUUUUAAAAAGGAGCUCACUUCAGUUUGUGGUGGGAGUGUGAGGAGCUGGGAGCAAGAGGCGCAAGGAGCUGAGAGGGUGUGCUGCUGGAGGACUGAGGAGCACAAGCGUUAUCAGACACCAGGAGGAAGAUCCUGUGGUGAGAAUAAGGAAGGUGUUUGGAGGAGGCCAUGGGGAAGUAGCCCAGGGAGUUGUAGCUGUCAUGCAGCUGUUACAGGAGGCACUAGAGACAGCUGCAGUCCACUGGGCUGGAACCCAGAGUAGAGGGUGGGUCCGGGUUCCUCCCAAACCUCCCAAUUGACCUGGACUGUGGGUUCUUCCAGAGGGGAAGGUCUCUGGGCUGUUCCCCAACCCACAUGGUGAAUCUCUGAGGCAAGAAAAUCCGCCAAUAAGCGCAGGACCCACCAAGAUAGAGGAGGAACUUUUGUCACACUUGUCAAUUUGCUCCCCUCUUUGUAUAUUUUUGAAAAUUAAAUUCUUUAGCUCUUUUGAGUAAGAAAAUUGAUAGUGUUUUGCAUUUUUACAAAUAUUUAAUUUCUUCUCUCUUUUACCCAUUGUUUUUGAAAGUCUCACAGAUGCGGGUCUCGUUUGCAAUUUAAUGUUUUGAUAGUAAUUCUAGAUCUAAUUGGAGAUUAAAGGAAUCAAACUGUAGUUAUUGAUCGGCAAACCAUUGAACUGCUUCAGUCAGUUGUUCAUAAGAAAAAGAUUGUGAAUUUACUUUCCCAAAGUCUGAUAGCUAUUAAACACAAGAGCAAAUGAUGAAAACCUUAUAUGUGUGAGCAGUUAUUUCCAGAUCAAUGUGAGUGACUUGGGAGUGUAAGAUAAAUUACCCUUUUUUUUCUUUUUUUUUAAUGGAUAUAAGUAUAGAAUACAGCACAGUAACUUCUCAUUUAACGUCCUGCUUAACGUUGUUUUGUUGCUGAUCAAUUAGAGAACAUGCUCAUUUAAAGUUGCACAAUUCUCCCUUAUAACGUUGUUUGGCAGCCACCCGCUUUGUCUACUGCUUGCAGGAAAAGCAGCCGUUGGAGCUAGCUGGUGAGGGCUUGGAACCAGGAUGGACCGGCAGCCCUGCUAUCAGCUCCCCUAAGUUCUCUGUGCAGCAGCUGCCCAGCAGGCUAUCAAUUGUGUUAACCCUUGAGGGCUCAGCUGAGUGCUGGUUCAUCAUUUAGCAAUAAGGUGUUCCACCCUCUUGACUCCACCACCUCAACCAAGCUUCACAAGCAUCAUUGCUGUGUACAGUAUUACAUUGUUUAAAACUUAUACUGUGUGUAUGUGUAUAUAUUCUUUUGUCUGGCGAAAAAAAAAUUCCCUGGAACCGAACCUCCCCACCCCCAUUUGCAUUAAUUCUUAUGGGGAAAUUGGAUUCGCUUAACAUUGUUUUGCUUAAAGUAGCAUUUUUCAGGAAUAUAACUACAAAGUUAAGCGAGGAGUUACUGUACUGAAUAAGUUUUGCGUGUUUGCACAUAUGGACUUCGGAUUUUUUUUAGCAUUGUUAGCUAAGUCAUAUAUGUAUUCAAUUAGAAAUACUUCUGAUCACUAUUAUUUGGCAUGAAGAGAUUUGUCCUUUCAGUAAAUUCUGCCAGCUGUACAUCUUCAGGGUCUCUUAGAAGUAUGCUACCUGGAUGAUUCAGAAAAUAUACUUUUUAAAAUAAGCUGUGGAAUUACACAGUCUCUUACAUAGGAGCCUCUAGUUGAAACACAUUAGUGUUACAGUUCAGCACUGAAAAUGAAGGGUUGAUUCUAAGAAUUACAGCUUUCUAAAGCUAACUUCUUAGUAUUCAUUUGGUUUACUCGAUUACUGAAUGUCUAAAAACUUUCUUAAGCAGAAAUAAGAAGGACAAAAAGAGAGAGAAAGAAAAGGAUUCAAAUAAUGAAAGAAAAGAGAGAGAGCAAUCCACAUCCAAGAAAAAAAGUAGCAAAGAAAAAGAUGGGAAGGAGAAGUCUGACAAAACCACUACUACACUGAAGGUAAGCACUUGUGAACAAGUGAUGAACAGGAGAGUGACUAAGCAGUAGAGUUUGAUCGAUUCUUGCCAAAAUCUGUCAUUUCUGUCUUCAUUCUUUGCUAGUUUGGACAGUUAAGUAUAGUUCCUACGAGCAAGAGACAGGUGCUCCAAAAGAAAGUGACCUUGGCAGAUCCAUUAGAUUAGGUCUCCCUACUUGAACCUUCCCAGCUCUUCAGGUGCUUGAGUGGGUAGGUAGGGAGAAAUGAGUGGAAUGGAAUAAAGAAGCAUAGGGUAAGGAGUGGGUUGGCUAC